GAUGAACGCUAGCGGCAGGCCUAACACAUGCAAGUCGAGGGGCAUCAUGGCGUAGCAUACGCUGAUGGCGACCGGCGCACGGGUGCGUAACGCGUAUGGAACCUACCCACCGCAGGGGGAUAACCCGCCGAAAGGCGGACUAAUACCCCAUGGUUCCCCGACCCUGCCUGGGGUUGGGGGUAAAGCCUACGGGCGGCGGUGGAUGGCCCUGCGUGCCAUUAGCUGGCUGGUGGGUAACGGCCCACCAGGGCGACGAUGGCUAGGGGGUCUGAGAGGACGAUCCCCCACACUGGUACUGAGACACGGACCAGACUCCUACGGGAGGCAGCAGUGAGGAAUAUUGGUCAAUGGGCGGAAGCCUGAACCAGCCAUGCCGCGUGCAGGAUGACGGCCCUACGGGUUGUAAACUGCUUUUGCCAGGGGAUAAAAAGUCCCUGCGGGGAAAAUUGAAGGUACCUGGUGAAUAAGCCACGGCUAACUACGUG
RNAcentral lists this ribosomal RNA (485 nucleotides) under uncultured bacterium. Its description in RNAcentral is "bacterial SSU rRNA". It matches the Rfam family "Bacterial small subunit ribosomal RNA", at positions 28 to 507 of the family's 1533-position model. The record is from RNAcentral.